CUAGCCGUAAACGAUGGAUACUAGGUGUUAGAGGUAUCGACCCCUCUAGUGCCGAAGCUAACGCAUUAAGUAUCCCGCCUGGGGAGUACGGCCGCAAGGUUGAAACUCAAAGGAAUUGACGGGGGCCCGCACAAGCGGUGGAGCAUGUUGCUUAAUUCGUCACUAACCGAAGAACCUUACCAGGGUUUGACAUCCUCCGCAAGUCCAUGAAAGUGGUACCCCCUGCAGCAAUGCAGGCGGAGAGACAGGUGU
This 252-nucleotide ribosomal RNA is filed under the name uncultured Armatimonadota bacterium. Its description in RNAcentral is "uncultured Armatimonadetes bacterium partial 16S ribosomal RNA". It matches the Rfam family "Bacterial small subunit ribosomal RNA", at positions 796 to 1041 of the family's 1533-position model. The record is from RNAcentral. Lineage: Bacteria; Bacillati; Armatimonadota.